GCUUAACACAUGCAAGUCGAACGCUUCGGGCUCCUUCGGGAGCCGGAAGAGUGGCGAACGGGUGCGUAACACGUGAGUGACCUGCCCUUUUCUGGGGGAUAACCGGGGGAAACCCCGGCUAAUACCGCAUGGGCCUGGCUCCUUUCGGGGAGGCAGGUAAAAGCCGAAAGGUGGGAAAGGAGGGGCUCGCGGCGUAUCAGCUAGCUGGUGGGGUAACGGCCUACCAGGGCGACGACGCGUAGCCGGUCUGAGAGGAUGAUCGGCCACAUUGGGACUGAGAUACGGCCCAGACUCCUACGGGAGGCAGCAGUGGGGAAUCUUGCGCAAUGGGCGAAAGCCUGACGCAGCGACGCCGCGUGGGGGAGGAAGGUCUUCGGAUUGUAAACCCCUGUCAGGUGGGACGAUGAUGACGGUACCACCAGAGGAAGCACCGGCUAACUCCGUGCCCAGCAGCCGCGGUAAUACCGGAGGGUGCGAGCGUUGUUCGGAAUUACUGGGCGUAAAGCGCGCGCAGGCGGUGAUUUAAGUCUACCUGUCCAAUGCCGGGGCUCAACCCCGUGCCCUGCAGGAGAUACUGGAUCACUGGAGACAUGCAGAGGCAAGUGGAAUUCCGGGUGUAGCGGUGGGAAUUGCGUAAGAUCCGGAAGAACCAUCGGUGGCGAAGGCGGUUGCUUGGGCNUGGACUGACGCUAGGCGCGAAAGGCGUGGGGAGCGAACAGGAUUAAAUACCCUUGGUUGUCCACGCGGUUAAACGAUUGGGCACUUAAACUUGGGGCGGAUCGACCCGUUCCCNUGUUCGCACUUAACGCGUUGAAGUGCCCCGCCNUGGGAUUAACGGGCGCAAGGGCUGAAACUCAAAGGAAUGGACGGGGGCCCGCACAAGACGGUGGAGACAUGUGAUUUAAUUCGAAGCAACGCGAAGAACCUUACCCGGUUUUGACAGUGCACUGAAACUCCGGUGAAAGCCGGGGGCCUCCUUCGGGACACGUGCACAGGUGCUGCAUGGCUGUGUCAGCUCGUGUCGUGAGAUGUUGGGUUAAGUCCCGCAACGAGCGCAACCCUUGCCGGCUGUUGCUAACAGGUCAACUGAGGACUCUGCCGGGACUGCCGGUGACAACCGGAGGAAGUUUGGGNACGACGUCNAGUCAUCAUGGUCCUUACGCCCGGGGCUACACACGUGCUACAAUGGCCGGGACAAACCGAAGCGAAGGCCGCGAGGUGGAGCGAAUCGGAAAAACCCGGUCCAAGUUCGGAUUGCAGUCUGCAACUCGACUGCAUGAAGCUGGAAUCGUCUAGUAAUCGUGGGUAGCUACACCACGGUGAAUACGUUNNCCGGGCAUUGUACACACCGCCCGUCACGCCUAUGGAAGUUGGGAGCGCCGCAGAAGCCCGUGAGCCAACUCGCAAGAGAGG
RNAcentral lists this ribosomal RNA (1413 nucleotides) under uncultured bacterium. Its description in RNAcentral is "bacterial SSU rRNA". It matches the Rfam family "Bacterial small subunit ribosomal RNA". The record is from RNAcentral.